Molecule: long non-coding RNA, 289 nt
Filed under: Anolis carolinensis (green anole)
Lineage: Eukaryota; Metazoa; Chordata; Lepidosauria; Squamata; Anolidae
Description: lncRNA (ENSACAG00000031121.2)
Source: RNAcentral
GCUUGUCAACAUCUCCCUUCAAUUGCAGUGCCCAGAAUUGGACACAGUAUUCCAGGUGUGGUCUGACCAAGGCAGAAUAGAGAGCAAUCUUCAGAAGUCCAUGAACCAGGAACGAUGGAACAAGCCAGUGACAAGGACUAAACUGGAAAAUCAAGACAUCAAAGGGCAAACCAGGAUACAAGGUCAGAACAAUGAAAAUCUCAUCACUGGGCUUCUCUCCAGGGAUGCUACUCAGUAUGGACUACAAUCAAGCCAAAGCACUAAUCAAACGACGUAUUUCAGACACAGA